GUGCUGUUUUAUUUUGACCGAAGCCGUAUAGAGAUUCCAUAUGAGAGUUAUUUCCCCUUUUUGUAUUUGAAAUUUUGAAAUGUAUUUUAAACUGGAAAACCAUAAGUGAUAGAGACCUAGGGUAUUUUGAUUUAAGAUCCUUGGUCCAAAAAAAAUGAAAAUUAGGUCAAGGUCAAAGGUCAAGGUCAAAUUGUAAAUUUUGAUUUGGGCUUAUUUUCACUUAUUUUCAUUAACCUUAUAAGAUAUCAACAAAUUAUUUUUACUAAAUUGUUAGUUGCGACAUGUCGUAACUUAUAAAUUUUGGUUGCAAGGGUGCGUAGACAAUAAAUGGGAGUUUUCGCCCCUCUUAUAUUUAGAAUUAUGCGUAAAGUGAUAUUACUCAUAAACCAUACAUAUUAAGGAACUAGUGUCUUUUGAUUCGAGAUGUUUAGUCUAUGACCUUGAAAUUGAGGUCAAGGUCAAAGGUUAAUUGGACGUUCUAGAUUUUGACCUUUGCUUUAAAUUAAUAUUUAUUCAUCAUAAAGCUAUAGGAACUGACAUUUUCAACUGAAUUUUAAUAUUUUCAUAUCAAAAUAGAUCUUUAUUAGUUGAAAGACCUUCAAUUGUUCUCUGAACAAUUGGUUUUUAAUUAUUAUUAUUAUUAUUUUUUUCUUCCGCCAAAUUUUGUCCUUGCGCAAAAUGUUUGUUUCGCAAUAUGUCGCUUAGAUAUUUCCCAUAUGGUAUCGUAUAGUUUAUGCGCUUUUAAAUUUCACCCUGCUAAGCAGAUCCAUUUUCUAUGUAAGAGUUAUCUCCCUUUUCACUGUUUAACCUCUGUGUGCAUCUCCUUCGUAACAAAAAAAGAUAGCGACAAAAUUCUUUUUACAAAUUGUUCGUUAUAUCCUCAGAAAUUUUUGGCUAAUUUGGAUCGAAGCGAUUCAAUGAAAUUUUAUAGGAGUUAUCUACCUUUACAAAAUAAAUUUGUCGGUAUGUUCAUUUAACUCAUAAACAGUUAACCGUAUAACCCUGGAAUGUUUUUAUUUGAGUCCCCUAAGUCCUAACUUAGAAAAUGAGGUCAAGGUCAAAGGUCAAGGUCAAGUUCUCAAUUGUGACUUUUGCUUGUUUUUGUAUUUUCUCCGACACUUUGAAAGAUACAUACUAAAGAACAAGUGCAAAAUGUCAACUUUAUUGUAAUGAAGAUAUGCUACAUUUAGUCUUAUACAAUUUAAUUGCAUCUUAUAGGAGUUGUUGCCCCUCAAAUGUCUUGAUAUGAGGUUAUUUGAUUAUGACUUCAACUAAGUUCAUUAUAAAGGCAUUUGACCUUGUACAAAAGAUUAGGUGACAAAUGACCUUGAAAAAUGACUACCGGAAGUGACCUUGAGAAAACCGGAAGUAGCUUUUUUGCAAUUUUUUCAUCUCAAAGUACCCAGAAUCAAUAUAUUUUGUCAUAUAGAUACAUACACUGAUUACUGGUGACGAAACAUGACUUCCAACAAACCGGAAGUGGCCCAUUAUUUCCCCGUCUACAUACAAUAGUAUAUAGAAACUUUAUAUUUUUGGAAUCAGUGUGAAAGAAGCUAUCAUAUGACACCGGAAGUGACAUUUAUUUCAUCGGAAGUAGCAUAUUAUCUCCC
RNAcentral lists this long non-coding RNA (1610 nucleotides) under Mytilus galloprovincialis (Mediterranean mussel). Lineage: Eukaryota; Metazoa; Mollusca; Bivalvia; Mytilida; Mytilidae. The record is from RNAcentral.